RNAcentral lists this transfer RNA (73 nucleotides) under Trichonephila inaurata madagascariensis. It matches the Rfam family "tRNA". Rfam says of the family: Transfer RNA (tRNA) molecules are approximately 80 nucleotides in length. Lineage: Eukaryota; Metazoa; Arthropoda; Arachnida; Araneae; Nephilidae. The record is from Rfam by way of RNAcentral.
GUCCCUGUAGCGCAAUGGAUAGCGCAUUGGACUUCUAAUCCAAAGGUCGUAAGUUCAAAUCCUACCUGGGAUG